ACAGUGGCAGAUGACAGCAGAAUCAUGGUUUCCUCUCAGUUUAGUGCUCACCUUGAUUUUACUGAACUCAAGCCUGCUGAUAUCAGCGAGUGGUGGACAUUAUGGUCACGGACAUGGUUACGGUGGACAUGAUCAUGAUGACGAUCAUGACUAUGACUACUGCAGGAGGUCCUCUAAAACUAUAAAUGCAUGUGAAGGCUCUAUCCUGCGUCUGUCCUGUCCUGGU
Danio rerio (zebrafish) is the source of this 226-nucleotide non-coding RNA. NCBI's taxonomy places the organism in Eukaryota, Metazoa, Chordata, Actinopteri, Cypriniformes, Danionidae. The record is from RefSeq and is a predicted model, not a curated record.